Molecule: ribosomal RNA, 253 nt
Filed under: uncultured bacterium
Lineage: Bacteria
Description: partial 16S ribosomal RNA
Rfam family: Bacterial small subunit ribosomal RNA
Source: RNAcentral
GACAGAGGCCUCAAGCGUUAGGCGGAAUCACUGGGCUUAAAGCGUGUGUAGGUGGAUUCUUAAGUGCCUUGUGAAAUCCCAUGGCUCAACCAUGGAACUGCUUGGCAUACUGGGAGUCUUGAGCCAUCUAGGGGCAACUGGAACAGACGGUGGAGCGGUGAAAUGCGUAGAUAUCGUCUGGAACGCCUAAGGUGAAGACAGGUUGCUGGGGAUGUGCUGACACUGAGACACGAAAGCCAGGGGAGCAAACGGG